UGGGGAAUAUUGCGCAUGGGCGAAAGCCUGACGCAGCGACGCCGCGUGAGGGAAGAAGGCCUUCGGGUCGUAAACCUCUGUCUGGAGGAAAGAAACCCAUGGGUUCAAAUAGGGCUCAUGGCUGACGGUACCUCCGAAGGAAGCACCGGCUAACUCCGUGCCAGCAGCCGCGGUAAUACGGAGGGUGCAAGCGUUAAUCGGAAUCACUGGGCGUAAAGCGCACGUAGGCUGUCUUGCAAGUCAGACGUGAAAGCCCUCGGCUCAACCGGGGAACUGCGUUUGAAACUGCAUGACUUGAGUACAGGAGAGGGUGGCAGAAUUCCGGGUGUAGGGGUGAAAUCCGUAGAUAUCCGGAGGAAUACCAGUGGCGAAGGCGGCCAUCUGGACUGUCACUGACGCUGAGGUGCGAAAGCGUGGGGAGCAAACAG
RNAcentral lists this ribosomal RNA (428 nucleotides) under uncultured bacterium. RNAcentral's name for it is "bacterial SSU rRNA". It matches the Rfam family "Bacterial small subunit ribosomal RNA", at positions 355 to 775 of the family's 1533-position model. The record is from RNAcentral.